This 2908-nucleotide ribosomal RNA is filed under the name Pectobacterium brasiliense. RNAcentral describes it as "23S ribosomal RNA". It matches the Rfam family "Bacterial large subunit ribosomal RNA". Lineage: Bacteria; Pseudomonadati; Pseudomonadota; Gammaproteobacteria; Enterobacterales; Pectobacteriaceae. The record is from RNAcentral.
GGUUAAGCGACUAAGCGUACACGGUGGAUGCCUAGGCAGUCAGAGGCGAUGAAGGGCGUGCUAAUCUGCGAUAAGCGUCGGUAAGCUGAUAUGAAGCGUUAUACCCGACGAUACCCGAAUGGGGAAACCCAGUGUGUUUCGACACACUAUCAUGACAUGAAUACAUAGUGUCAUGAGGCGAACCGGGGGAACUGAAACAUCUCAGUACCCCGAGGAAAAGAAAUCAACCGAGAUUCCCCCAGUAGCGGCGAGCGAACGGGGAAGAGCCCAGAACCUGAAUCAGUUUGUGUGUUAGUGGAAGCGUCUGGAAAGUCGCACAGUAAAGGGUGAUAGUCCCGUACACAAAAAUGCACAGAUUGUGAGUUCGAUGAGUAGGGCGGGACACGUGACAUCCUGUCUGAAUAUGGGGGGACCAUCCUCCAAGGCUAAAUACUCCUGACUGACCGAUAGUGAACCAGUACCGUGAGGGAAAGGCGAAAAGAACCCCGGCGAGGGGAGUGAAAUAGAACCUGAAACCGUGUACGUACAAGCAGUGGGAGCCUACUAGUUAGGUGACUGCGUACCUUUUGUAUAAUGGGUCAGCGACUUAUAUUCUGUAGCAAGGUUAACCGUAUAGGGGAGCCGCAGGGAAACCGAGUCUUAACUGGGCGUUAAGUUGCAGGGUAUAGACCCGAAACCCGGUGAUCUAGCCAUGGGCAGGUUGAAGGUUGGGUAACACUAACUGGAGGACCGAACCGACUAAUGUUGAAAAAUUAGCGGAUGACUUGUGGCUGGGGGUGAAAGGCCAAUCAAACCGGGAGAUAGCUGGUUCUCCCCGAAAGCUAUUUAGGUAGCGCCUCGUGAAUUCAUCUUCGGGGGUAGAGCACUGUUUCGGCUAGGGGGUCAUCCCGACUUACCAACCCGAUGCAAACUACGAAUACCGAAGAAUGUUAUCACGGGAGACACACGGCGGGUGCUAACGUUCGUCGUGAAGAGGGAAACAACCCAGACCGCCAGCUAAGGUCCCAAAGUCAUGGUUAAGUGGGAAACGAUGUGGGAAGGCAUAGACAGCCAGGAUGUUGGCUUAGAAGCAGCCAUCAUUUAAAGAAAGCGUAAUAGCUCACUGGUCGAGUCGGCCUGCGCGGAAGAUGUAACGGGGCUAAACCAUGCACCGAAGCUGCGGCAGCGACACUUAGGUGUUGUUGGGUAGGGGAGCGUUCUGUAAGCCUGCGAAGGUGGCCUGUGAGGGCUGCUGGAGGUAUCAGAAGUGCGAAUGCUGACAUAAGUAACGAUAAUGCGGGUGAAAAACCCGCACGCCGGAAGACCAAGGGUUCCUGUCCAACGUUAAUCGGGGCAGGGUGAGUCGACCCCUAAGGCGAGGCUGAAAAGCGUAGUCGAUGGGAAACAGGUUAAUAUUCCUGUACUCGGUGUUACUGCGAAGGGGGGACGGAGAAAGCUAGGUUAUCCGGGCGACGGUUGUCCCGGUUUAAGCGUGAAGGUGGAUGACUUUGGUAAAUCCGGGUCAUCAUUAACACUGAGGCGUGAUGACGAGUCACUACGGUGAUGAAGUAACCGAUGCUACGCUUCCAGGAAAAGCCUCUAAGCUCCAGGUAACAUCAAAUCGUACCCCAAACCGACACAGGUGGUCAGGUAGAGAAUACUCAGGCGCUUGAGAGAACUCGGGUGAAGGAACUAGGCAAAAUGGUGCCGUAACUUCGGGAGAAGGCACGCUGAUGGUAGGUGAAGUGACUUGCUCAUGGAGCUGAAAUCAGUCGAAGAUACCAGCUGGCUGCAACUGUUUAAUAAAAACACAGCACUGUGCAAACACGAAAGUGGACGUAUACGGUGUGACGCCUGCCCGGUGCCGGAAGGUUAAUUGAUGGGGUCAGCCGCAAGGCGAAGCUCUUGAUCGAAGCCCCGGUAAACGGCGGCCGUAACUAUAACGGUCCUAAGGUAGCGAAAUUCCUUGUCGGGUAAGUUCCGACCUGCACGAAUGGCGUAAUGAUGGCCAGGCUGUCUCCACCCGAGACUCAGUGAAAUUGAACUCGCUGUGAAGAUGCAGUGUACCCGCGGCAAGACGGAAAGACCCCGUGAACCUUUACUAUAGCUUGACACUGAACCUUGAGCCUUGAUGUGUAGGAUAGGUGGGAGGCUUUGAAGCGUGGACGCCAGUCUGCGUGGAGCCAACCUUGAAAUACCACCCUUUAAUGUUUGAUGUUCUAACGUGGACCCGUAAUCCGGGUUGCGGACAGUGUCUGGUGGGUAGUUUGACUGGGGCGGUCUCCUCCCAAAGCGUAACGGAGGAGCACGAAGGUUAGCUAAUCCUGGUCGGACAUCAGGAGGUUAGUGCAAAGGCAUAAGCUAGCUUGACUGCGAGAGUGACAGCUCGAGCAGGUGCGAAAGCAGGUCUUAGUGAUCCGGUGGUUCUGAAUGGAAGGGCCAUCGCUCAACGGAUAAAAGGUACUCCGGGGAUAACAGGCUGAUACCGCCCAAGAGUUCAUAUCGACGGCGGUGUUUGGCACCUCGAUGUCGGCUCAUCACAUCCUGGGGCUGAAGUAGGUCCCAAGGGUAUGGCUGUUCGCCAUUUAAAGUGGUACGCGAGCUGGGUUUAGAACGUCGUGAGACAGUUCGGUCCCUAUCUGCCGUGGGCGUUGGAAGAUUGAGAGGGGUUGCUCCUAGUACGAGAGGACCGGAGUGAACGCACCACUGGUGUACGGGUUGUGAUGCCAAUUGCAUUGCCCGGUAGCUAAGUGCGGAAGAGAUAACCGCUGAAAGCAUCUAAGCGGGAAACUUGCCUCGAGAUGAGUCUUCCCUGGGCACUUGAUGCCCCUGAAGGGCCGUUGAAGACGACGACGUAGAUAGGCUGGGUGUGUAAGCGUAGCGAUACGUUGAGCUAACCAGUACUAAUGAACCCGAGAGGCUUAACCUU